Molecule: ribosomal RNA, 480 nt
Filed under: Triticum aestivum (bread wheat)
Lineage: Eukaryota; Viridiplantae; Streptophyta; Magnoliopsida; Poales; Poaceae
Description: partial small subunit ribosomal RNA
Source: RNAcentral
AUGAUGCGUAACUUUCUUCAUCAGUUUUAUCUUUGGGGUUUACUACAAUGCAGCACUGACUUUCACGCUGCAUGUUCUGCAGUACUAGUAGAUGCGGAUUUAUCUAUGCAUGUAUGCUUGGUGAGAGACGUAGCUCAUCAUUCCGUCUGGCUAUGUUAUUUUUGUUCAGUUAAGUAUGAGUUCAUUUUUCUCUCCAAACAGAAAGUUUCGGUUCAGUUUACUCACAAGAUGGUAAAUGCAUGGUUUCUCAUGAAGUGUGUUGGAAAAUCAGGAUUUUGGGAAUCUAUUUCCACAUGUAUUUUCAGUCACAGAGGCAGCAAAACAGAUGCCCAGAACCAGGACCAGGAGAAUGAGAUGAAGACAUCUCCCGUCGCAAAGCUCAUCCGGAGAGGGUAUAUGUUCCCAGGAUAUCCACGCACAUCCCAUCACCCGGCACUCCGUACGGCUCUCCGCCACCGCCAAAAGACGGAGCCAAUGUAA